AAUAAGCUUCCUAAGAAGAGGCCUCACUCCGAGCCUCAGCGGCACAGGACCCGACGCUUCCCCGGUCCUGCUGGACUCCUCCCAGAGCAGCCGCAGGGUCGAAACCUGGACGAGGUGGUGGUUUCUGUUCCUGUGACUCCUGCUCACGGUGCCGUGGCUCGGCUGCCAAGCCAGAUACUGUGCUGCCUUCAGGUCCUACUGGG
Molecule: long non-coding RNA, 203 nt
Organism: Larimichthys crocea (large yellow croaker)
Lineage: Eukaryota; Metazoa; Chordata; Actinopteri; Sciaenidae
Exons: 3
Source: RefSeq, a predicted model, not a curated record